RNAcentral lists this ribosomal RNA (210 nucleotides) under uncultured Staphylococcus sp. RNAcentral's name for it is "partial 16S ribosomal RNA". It matches the Rfam family "Bacterial small subunit ribosomal RNA", at positions 130 to 334 of the family's 1533-position model. Lineage: Bacteria; Bacillati; Bacillota; Bacilli; Caryophanales; Staphylococcaceae. The record is from RNAcentral.
CUAUAAGACUGGGAUAACUUCGGGAAACCGGAGCUAAUACCGGAUAAUAUAUUGAACCGCAUGGUUCAAUAGUGAAAGACGGUUUUGCUGUCACUUAUAGAUGGAUCCGCGCCGCAUUAGCUAGUUGGUAAGGUAACGGCUUACCAAGGCGACGAUGCGUAGCCGACCUGAGAGGGUGAUCGGCCACACUGGAACUGAGACACGGUCCAG